UUGGUGCUUGAUAUAACACUUAAAAGAUAUGAAAAACAUGAUUCAAGUAACAAUAUUCCAUAAAGUUUAGUCUACCUAUUCGUAUUUUCAAUUUCAAAAUUUUGAAUGGUAACAAAAUAGAAAACAAAAAUCUUUAUAUGACAAAGAAUCUGUGUUUUCUUUAUUCGGCUGGAAAGCGAAAAUUUGUGUUAUUCAGAAAAUGUAAUAUAACGUAGUUUGGGUGAGCUUUCCAUCUCGACAUUGUGGUGUGUUUGUCACCCGUUAAUUGGACACAAACACCUUCCUUUCCACCGCUUUCAAUAAAAAAAACCACCCGGUAGGAAUAUUAUAUUUUGAUUAUUAGUUACACUAUUUAUCGCGCCUAAAAGUGUAGUGUAUACUAGUCUGGGAGCCGUUUUUCUUGUGGCGAUUUUUUAAAUGAAUUAUCUACGUCAAUAUUGAACCCACGGGGGGCGCCUCACCCCUGCCUUCCCCAUGGACAGUCCAGCAAUGUCUGCUUCCACUCCCCCCUGUGUUUCCAGACCCAGAGAGUGAAGCAAAGCCAGAAUCAACCACCACACUAGAUAAAUAGCCAUUACUGUGACGAUGGAAUGCUGUCAGCGAGGAGCAUGGAAGACGCAGAGAGAGUGGUGGUCAGGUGGUGGUGGAGACAGGGAGAGUAUGUGGCCUGGAGAUUAACAAACAGAACACCAAUAAUCUUGUGACCUCCAUGCAUCCUUCCUAAUGUCAAUAAAGUUGUCUUAUCAUGCCCAAAA
RNA transcript from Portunus trituberculatus (swimming crab), 755 nucleotides. RefSeq lists it as uncharacterized. The record is from RefSeq and is a predicted model, not a curated record. NCBI's taxonomy places the organism in Eukaryota, Metazoa, Arthropoda, Malacostraca, Decapoda, Portunidae. The transcript is spliced from 2 exons.